RNAcentral lists this transfer RNA (73 nucleotides) under Chlorobiota bacterium. Its description in RNAcentral is "tRNA-Thr". It matches the Rfam family "tRNA". Rfam says of the family: Transfer RNA (tRNA) molecules are approximately 80 nucleotides in length. Their secondary structure includes four short double-helical elements and three loops (D, anti-codon, and T loops). Further hydrogen bonds mediate the characteristic L-shaped molecular structure. tRNAs have two regions of fundamental functional importance: the anti-codon, which is responsible for specific mRNA codon recognition, and the 3' end, to which the tRNAs corresponding amino acid is attached (by aminoacyl-tRNA synthetases). tRNAs cope with the degeneracy of the genetic code in two manners: having more than one tRNA (with a specific anti-codon) for a particular amino acid; and 'wobble' base-pairing, i.e. permitting non-standard base-pairing at the 3rd anti-codon position. Lineage: Bacteria; Pseudomonadati; Chlorobiota. The record is from RNAcentral.
GCCAAUUUAGCUCAGUGGUAGAGCAGCUCACUCGUAAUGAGCAGGUCGCCGGUUCAAGUCCGGCAAUUGGCUC